CUCAUCUGCAAGCCCCAUCCGAAGAAAGGGACACAACAAGCCGAAAUCACAGCGGCUACGGGGUCCUGGGCAACGUCUGGGGUGACCAAAAGGUCCUCAAGGUCGUCGCAGUGCCAGCUUCCUAGGGACAAAUGGGGGCGUGUGUCUAUAUCCGGGGGGGGGGGGGGGGGGGCAGAAAGCCCGUUUCAUUUGCCCGAGGGAAAGGAACACAGCUGACACACAAGCACAGCCCGAAACUUAACAACGCGUUUACUCCACGGAUGCAAUGCCGGGACAAAGGCAGUGGGCACAGCAGGAAAAGAACUGAGAGAGAAGCCUAGCGGCCCCGGCGCUAAACGCGGAGACUAGGAGACAGAGGCCCUAUAUGGCUCUCAGAUCAUUGAGAAAGACACUUCAAAUGGCAAGAGAUACAUACACAUCUGAAAGGGACAGAAGAAGGAGUCACCGUUGUAAGCCCUUUUGGGUAAAUGCUAUAAGAAAAGGGAGGUCUGGGACCUAUCAUCAGGUUUUGGCUAGAACAAAUGAUAAACACUGGGAGCCUUGAGUUUUCUCAGACAGGCAUUUUAAUGCAGUACUGGAGUCAUCCUAGGGCACAGCCUGAUGCUACUGGAAGCUAUGCUCUAGUGUGGUCAUCUCAUAGUGUAGAGGUUUGGAGAAAAGUUCUGCCAUGUGCAAAGGACCUGAGGCCCCUGGCCUUCAGCCCCAGCCAUACUGAAUGAGCCAGUGUGAAAGCAGAUCCUCCAGCCUUCAGUCAACUGUCCAGCUCAUGCUGCACGGAGCAAAGAUGAACGUUGCCUCUGAUCCCUACCCAGUUCUACCCAAUGGCAUAUUUGUGUGCAAAAGAAAUGAUUAUCAUUCUUUCAAGUCACAAAGUUUGAGGAUGGCUUGUUAUGCAGCAAUAAGCAAACACCUAUGAAAUAUAAGACAUGUACCUAU
This is a long non-coding RNA of Neofelis nebulosa (Clouded leopard), 936 nucleotides long. RefSeq lists it as uncharacterized. NCBI's taxonomy places the organism in Eukaryota, Metazoa, Chordata, Mammalia, Carnivora, Felidae. The transcript has 2 exons. The record is from RefSeq and is a predicted model, not a curated record.